RNAcentral lists this long non-coding RNA (2251 nucleotides) under Eptatretus burgeri (inshore hagfish). RNAcentral's name for it is "lncRNA (ENSEBUG00000017149.1)". Lineage: Eukaryota; Metazoa; Chordata; Myxini; Myxiniformes; Myxinidae. The record is from RNAcentral.
AUGACACUGCAAGCGAAACCAAGUCCUGGGAGGAGGAAGACUGCUUGCCAUCGCAUCAUGAAGCUCAGCAAAUCUGUCUGGAACAACAUUAAGAAAAACACUAAAUAUUGUGGUGACAUGACCACUUAUGACUGCUUGGAUUCACUUCCUGAAGUUCGCAUAAACUGUGAACAUGAUUGGACGGAUCUUUGCAAACAAGUCCUCAUCAACUAUGAAAUCAUCCUGAAGCACUUAAAAGAGAAAUCAAACCAACCACCAAUCAUCCAAGGACAAAGAAACACGAAGCUUGGCAAAAACAAAUGCAACAUCUCGUGUAAUAUCAACAAAUUACACAGGAAGAUAAGGCAGAAAGUUACAAGCAGCGGUGACACUCGUAACAAGAAAUUUUGCCCAUCGAGCCAAAACUGCACCGCAACACCAAAUAUGGAAAAUGUCAAUUGCCAAUCAAUGGAUUGGAAAUGCAUUGCUGAAAGUGUGCUGAAAAAACUAAAUUAUUUCCUGCAAGACUUCAAAGUUGGCUUUCGAAGAUGCAACAGGAGGAAACGAGUAACAGGAAUGGACAGGCAAUGAUGAUCGGAGGACAUGCAGUAUUAAAUGUACAUCCAAGGAUAUUUAUUGCACUUAUAAACUUCAAAUGAACACCAUAGGCAGUGUUAUGGCUGAUACAUACACUUAUCAAGCCACUGAUCUUUCAAUCAGAUGCAGUAUUAUUACACUUAUGGGGUUGGGGUUGUAGUUAGAAUUUAAAGCCUUAACACCCAUUGAGUUUUUGUAGUUUAUAAAAUAAUUUUGAACUCACAAUAAGGACACAUGGAUAGGGGUAACUGUUUGUCGUACAGUCCAACCGAGUGAUGGGCCUUAUCCAUUUGAGAUUAGAGAGGUUAAGGAUGCUCUGUCAUGUUGAACGUGAGAUUCUCCAGACAUCCCUCAAAUUCAUGGUACCGUUUCUCGGCGUGUGCCGCAGUAUGGCUUCCACUCCCACCCCUUCCUCCACCACACCUCCCCCUAUCUCACAUGCCACCAAUAAGAAAAAACUCUGGCUCUCUUGCACUCACCGGAAGAGGCAUGGCCACCACUGAGUGACAGCGAGCAAGGUGGCCCGUGAUUGGCGUUUCCCACCUGGCGGACACGUAGCCGAUUGGGUCAGGUUCGUCAUCGUGGAGUGGGUAAGAGUUUUUGCUGUGUGGAGGCACGGCGCAUGACUGCUAGUUACCCUACAGGCAUUAAUGUCGACGCCUUGAGGGUGAAGUGGGGGGUGGGAGCUUGGCCUGUAUUUCUGCUGUCGGGAUGCACUGCCCUCAUGAGCUGCCUCAAUGCCUUCUGUUCAACCUAUGACUUCUCUCCACCUGCACUGAUUACUUGCCCAAUUCUGUGUGAAUGCUUGUUAUGUGUGUGUGGUGCCAGAGUUAGGGAUUAGUUCCUUCAUUGUUAAAUAUUGUGAUUAUUUAUUGUCUGUCUUCGUCCAGGAUUCCGUAUUCAUUUUGACUUGUGCUGAUUAAAUUAUUACAUUUCUUAAGCCUGUGUGCGUUGAAUUCCUGCCAUCUUUCAAGCGCCGACGAUUCGGGUUCGGUUGAUUAUCCCUGGAGGAUUAAUUUAUUUUUCAUUUGAAUAUUAAUAGCCGACGUGGUUUAUUUAUACCACGCUCGGAGUAUGGUGGCACGCCGACUAUCGCUUGGGCGUGAUUCCUGUUUAAUUCUAUCAUAAAUGGAGUGGAGGGAUCUUCAUCAUGUUUGGUCUCAGGAGCAGCUGCGGAUGUAGUUGUGGUUGAGCGGUUGGCAUGGUGGGGGGCGUCCACAGGACAGUAUUAAUAUAUGUGACUGUUCUACAUCCACAGACUUUUCUUUGCAGAUGUUGCUGCGCAGUGUGUUUGCAUUCAUGAAAAUUUUCUGUUGUAUACAUAUUGCAAUUUUAAUUCAGAUUUUAUGACGUGGUUAAAUUUUUGUGAGUGCAUUUUUCAUUCCUUCCCUCUCACUAUCUAAAUCACAAAAAGCACAUGAAAAAUGUGUUAUUACUGUAUUCUGUUUUACUGUAAGAUGCAGAGCAUAAUGUAAAUCUAAAUAUAUCUGGUAUUUAUCUACUUUUUGGAUGAAUACUGUUGUGAGACUGUUUUUAUCGACUUAUUUAUUAUAAAGAAUUUCGAAUGUAAUGAAACACUGCAAAAACCUAUUUUUUUUUUUAAUCUAUCUUUAAGUCCAUUCUUUGUGAGAUGAUAACAUUGGCAUUUGAAAAAGAAAUAAAUGUUUUAAACUGG